GAUCAGAUAGCUCAGGGGUUAGAGCACCAAGUGAUUUUAAUGUUAUGUUAUCAAUCUGGGGGUCCUGGGUUCGAAUCCCAGUCUGAUCA
Molecule: transfer RNA, 89 nt
Organism: Lottia gigantea (owl limpet)
Lineage: Eukaryota; Metazoa; Mollusca; Gastropoda; Lottiidae
Rfam family: tRNA
About the family: Transfer RNA (tRNA) molecules are approximately 80 nucleotides in length. Their secondary structure includes four short double-helical elements and three loops (D, anti-codon, and T loops). Further hydrogen bonds mediate the characteristic L-shaped molecular structure. tRNAs have two regions of fundamental functional importance: the anti-codon, which is responsible for specific mRNA codon recognition, and the 3' end, to which the tRNAs corresponding amino acid is attached (by aminoacyl-tRNA synthetases). tRNAs cope with the degeneracy of the genetic code in two manners: having more than one tRNA (with a specific anti-codon) for a particular amino acid; and 'wobble' base-pairing, i.e. permitting non-standard base-pairing at the 3rd anti-codon position.
Source: Rfam